AAACUGAAGAGUUUGAUCAUGGCUCAGAUUGAACGCUGGCGGCAGGCCUAACACAUGCAAGUCGAGCGGUAGCAGGGGGUGCUUGCACCCCGCUGACGAGCGGCGGACGGGUGAGUAAUGCAUAGGAAUCUGCCCGGUAGUGGGGGAUAACCUGGGGAAACCCAGGCUAAUACCGCAUACGUCCUACGGGAGAAAGGGGGCUUCGGCUCCCGCUA
Molecule: ribosomal RNA, 215 nt
Filed under: Halomonas sp. SpR8
Lineage: Bacteria; Pseudomonadati; Pseudomonadota; Gammaproteobacteria; Oceanospirillales; Halomonadaceae
Description: partial 16S ribosomal RNA
Rfam family: Bacterial small subunit ribosomal RNA
Source: RNAcentral